This 286-nucleotide long non-coding RNA is filed under the name Elaeis guineensis (African oil palm). RNAcentral describes it as "long non-coding RNA (EGUI_LNC052424)". Lineage: Eukaryota; Viridiplantae; Streptophyta; Magnoliopsida; Arecales; Arecaceae. The record is from RNAcentral.
UUCAAAUUGGGUUUGAAUCGGAUGCAAAUUGAGUCAAAUCUGAGUGUAUUUGGUUUAAAACAAAAGAGUCUCAGAACCCUAGGACUCUCUUUCAUGUUGGCUGACCAGUAGAAGGGAGUGUGCGCUAAAUAAUUGCCACCCCUUUUAUUUUUGUGCAUGAAGAGUUUGUGCAUGAAGAGUAGCGCUCUCUUCUUUCUUACCCGAUUUCCAACUUGGAUUAGGACACCUAGCUAAAUAGGUAUUUGAUCAGAUUUAUGGGAUGUCAUCUAUAAAAGGGAGGGACCAC